RNAcentral lists this long non-coding RNA (359 nucleotides) under Bos taurus (domestic cattle). RNAcentral's name for it is "long non-coding RNA NONBTAT018372". Lineage: Eukaryota; Metazoa; Chordata; Mammalia; Artiodactyla; Bovidae. The record is from RNAcentral.
AAUGAAAAAGCAUUUAACAAACUGGAUAAUGCUCACAGUCUAGAAAGAUACUUGUAGAUGUAACUACAUGUAACUGUCAAUGUCAUUUAACAGGAAAGAAUUUUUAAAGUGACUUUAAAAUAUUUAAACUGCCUCUCAGCAAGGCACUAGGUCAUUAUUACUAUCCUCUCACUCUUCUGUUCCCUUAAAGUACUCAGAGCACCAUCCCAAUCAAGCCUGGAGGCAGAUUCCUGGGUUCUCAGCCUCGUGCACAUGUCUGAGCCUCCAUGGCACUUCCAGAUAAGAUCCACUGCUUACCUGGCGUCUGUGCUCUGGUGUGGCACAUGUGUGCACACGUGUGUGCCAGUGAGGCACACACA